GUACACGCUGUGACUAGCAUAUCAAUAAGCGGAGGAAAAGAAACUAACAAGGAUUCCCUUAGUAACGGCGAGUGAAGCGGGAAGAGCUCAAAUUUGAAAUCUUCAAGGUUUUACCUUGACGAAUUGUAGUUUAAAGAAGUGUUUUCUGUUAGUGGAGUGGCAAAAGUUCUUUGGAAUAGGACAUCAUAGAGGGUGAGAAUCCCGUAUUUGGUCAUUCCUUCUAGCUUUGUGAUACACUUUCAAAGAGUCGGAUUGUUUGGGAAUGCAGUCCGAAAUGGGUGGUAAAUUUCAUCUAAAGCUAAAUAUUGGCGAGAGACCGAUAGCUGAACAAGUACCGUGAGGGAAAGAUGAAAAGAACUUUGAAAAGAGAGUUAAACAGUACGUGAAAUUGUCAAAAGGGAAGCGUUUGACACCAGUGUUGUUUUUCCGAAAAUCAAUUAUAAAUGUUUUGUUUCUGAGGAGUGAUGACUUCAUCGGCUUCCUUCUCUCUUCACGAAACUUUUGUAAUGCACUUUUCGGUUAACAAGUCAACAUCAAUUUCUUUUGUUGUAAAAGAGUAUUCGGAAGGUGGCUUUCUUUUCGGAGAAAGUGUUUAUAGCCCUAUACUUCUACAAUCGGAGAGAUUGAGGUCUGCAGCGUAGAUCCUUCGGGGUUAGAUACACUUGUGCUAAGUUAUAGCUUUUCAUAGACAACUUGUUGACUAUGUUUAGUCUUGUAGCUUACUCGCUUGUGCUAUUUUACCUACGCUUAGGAUGUUGACACACGCGCGUGCUC
This 774-nucleotide ribosomal RNA is filed under the name uncultured Neocallimastigales. Its description in RNAcentral is "partial large subunit ribosomal RNA". It matches the Rfam family "Eukaryotic large subunit ribosomal RNA", at positions 22 to 642 of the family's 3401-position model. Lineage: Eukaryota; Fungi; Neocallimastigomycota; Neocallimastigomycetes; Neocallimastigales. The record is from RNAcentral.